GCCACUGCAGUCACUUCGCCCCACACAGUCUUCAGCCUCAGGGUCGUGCCGACAGCAGCCAUGAGUGGCGGCGUGUACAGGGGAGAUGAAGUUGAAGCCCUUGUUUCUGACAUUGGAUCCUAUAAUGUGAGAGCUGGUUAUGCUGGUGAGGACUGCCCCAACGUAGAUUUCCCCACAGCCAUUGGUAUGGUAGUGGAAAGAGAUGAUGGAAGCACGUUGAUGGAAAUAGAUGGUGAUAAAGGCAAACAAGGCGGUCCCACAUACUAUAUAGACACAAAUGCCCUGCGUGUUCCCAGAGAGAAUAUGGAGGCAAUUUCACCACUGAAAAAUGGAAUGGUUGAAGACUGGGAUAGUUUCCAGGCUAUUUUGGAUCAUACCUAUAAAAUGCAUAUCAAAUCAGAAGCCAGUCUACAUCCUGUUCUAAUGUCUGAAGCACCGUGAAAUACUAGAGCAAAAAGAGAGAAGCUGACAGAGUUAAUGUUUGAACACUACAACAUCCCUGCAUUCUUCCUGCGUAAAACUGCAGUUUUGACAGCAUUUGCUAAUGGUUGUUCUACUGGGCUAAUUUUAGAGAGGGGAGCCACACAUACCACUGCAAUUCCUGUCCAUGAUGGCUACGUCCUUCAGCAAGGUAUUGUGAAAUCACCCCUUGCUGGAGAUUUUAUUACUAUGCAAUGCAGAGAACUCUUUCAAGAAAUGAAUAUAGAAUUGAUUCCUCCGUAUAUGAUUGCAUCAAAAGAAGCUGUUCGUGAAGGAUCUCCAGCAAAUUGGAAAAGAAAAGAGAAGCUGCCACAGGUUACCAGGUCAUGACACAAUUACAUGUGCAAUUGUGUCAUGCAGGAUUUCCAAGCUUCAGUACUUCAAGUGUCAGAUUCAACUUAUGAUGAACAAGUAACAGCACAAAUGCCAACUGUUCAUUAUGAAUUCCCCAAUGGUUACAACUGUGCAGAACGACUUAAAAUUCCUGAAGGAUUAUUUGACCCUUCCAAUGAAAAGGGGUUAUCAGGAAAUACAAUGUUGGGAGUCAGUCAUGUUGUCACCACAAGUGUUGGAGUGUGUGAUAUUGACAUCAGACCAGGUCUCUAUGGCAGUGUGAUAGUAGCAGGAGGAAACACGUUGAUACAAAGUUUUACUGAUAGGUUGAAUAGAGAGCUUUCUCAGAAAACUCCCCCAAGUAUGUGAUUGAAAUUGAUUGCAAAUAACACAACGGUGGAACGAAGGUUUAGUUCAUGGAUGGUGGCUCCAUUCUAGCUUCUUUGGGCACCUUUCAACAGAUGUGGAUUUCAAAGCAAGAAUAUGAAGAAGAGGGGAAGUAGUGUGUAGAAAGGAAAUGCCAUUGA
Molecule: RNA transcript, 1340 nt
Organism: Perognathus longimembris pacificus (Pacific pocket mouse)
Lineage: Eukaryota; Metazoa; Chordata; Mammalia; Rodentia; Heteromyidae
Gene name: actin-like protein 6A
Exons: 1
Source: RefSeq, a predicted model, not a curated record